AAAAAAGAAAAAGAAAAAACAACUUCAAUUCACCCAAGUUUUUGGUCUGAAAGUGACUAAAGAGGUGGUGUUUUAAUUGAGUAAUGCCAUCAUGAUCACUGUUUGUUAUAACAAUAUCAUCGACAUAAACCACCAAAUAAAUGCUCUUACCAUGAGAAGUAUGACAAUAACGAACUGAAUGAUCAGCUUCACUUCGAGUCAUCUCAAAUUGUUGAACAACACUAUUGAAUCAUCCAAACCAUGUCCUUGGAUUUGAAGAAAUAAAGAAGAAGAAGGAGGAAUUUGUGGAAUAUUUUGCUUGAUUAUUCCCUGGAAACAUACAUAACUACAGGCACAAAUCUUCCUAAUUAAUAUGACUAACUACUUCCUAAUCUAUUUACAUAUUGUUUAGUCCAUAAAUGCUGUGUGGCUAAUUGACAAUGUCCAACUACUUCAACUCUAUGAUUUAUGUCUGCCGCUGGUAAUGUAUGCUUGUAAAGCCAUCACAUGUUUAUUUAUUUAGUAAAUAUGUGACUUUUGACUG
Molecule: unclassified non-coding RNA, 523 nt
Filed under: Hevea brasiliensis (rubber tree)
Lineage: Eukaryota; Viridiplantae; Streptophyta; Magnoliopsida; Malpighiales; Euphorbiaceae
Source: RNAcentral